Long non-coding RNA from Phyllopteryx taeniolatus (common seadragon), 535 nucleotides. RefSeq lists it as uncharacterized. The transcript has 3 exons. The record is from RefSeq and is a predicted model, not a curated record. Lineage: Eukaryota; Metazoa; Chordata; Actinopteri; Syngnathiformes; Syngnathidae.
UGUGCACACAGGCGGCCUCCAGGGUCUCAGUGGUAAUAACGUGCUAUUCUUGGCAAACGGUGACUACCGGUAUAUGUCGGGGGAAAACACUAGCGCUGAUGAUACGGACCUGGCUGGUCCAUCAGUAUUCACGACCACCAAGAUGGUCGACUUGAAGGUAUGGCGGUAUGGGGCAAGCAGAGUGGUAAACUACUCGAAAUGACACAGAGAAAGGGCCGGCUUGCUAUUGGCAGUUGAUCCGCUGGUAAUUGCAAAGUAAGGAAAGUUGUCCCAAUUCACAAAGGGCAAGAUGACAUUGAUUCACCUUUCAUUUGGAAUUCUGCCUGAUAUUCACAGCUAUUGAUUUUUUUUUUUCCCCGGCCCCCCACCACAGACAGUAUGACAUGUGUCAUUUCAUUUCUGCUCCAGUGUGGCCUCAUAACAAGCAGGUGUUGCUGUAGAUAACUGCUCCAAUUGAACCACGAUAAUGUCUGCCACAUACAUUUUUUCCCCCCGUCAAUUCAUCGUCAAGGAAAUAAAGCAAAUUUCAUAAUUA